This 496-nucleotide ribosomal RNA is filed under the name uncultured bacterium. RNAcentral's name for it is "partial 16S ribosomal RNA". It matches the Rfam family "Bacterial small subunit ribosomal RNA", at positions 28 to 506 of the family's 1533-position model. The record is from RNAcentral.
GAUGAACGCUGGCGGCGUGCCUAAUACAUGCAAGUCGAGCGAACGGACGAGAAGCUUGCUUCUCUGAUGUUAGCGGCGGACGGGUGAGUAACACGUGGAUAACCUACCUAUAAGACUGGGAUAACUUCGGGAAACCGGAGCUAAUACCGGAUAAUAUUUUGAACCGCAUGGUUCAAAAGUGAAAGACGGUCUUGCUGUCACUUAUAGAUGGAUCCGCGCUGCAUUAGCUAGUUGGUAAGGUAACGGCUUACCAAGGCAACGAUGCAUAGCCGACCUGAGAGGGGGAUCGGCCACACGGGAACUGAGAAACGGUCCAGACCCCUACGGGAGGCAGCAGUAGGGAAUCUUCCGCAAUGGGCGAAAGCCUGACGGAGCAACGCCGCGUGAGUGAUGAAGGUCUUCGGAUCGUAAAACUCUGUUAUUAGGGAAGAACAUAUGUGUAAGUAACUGUGCACAUCUGGACGGUACCUAAUCAGAAAGCCACGGCUAACUACGG